Molecule: ribosomal RNA, 427 nt
Filed under: uncultured beta proteobacterium
Lineage: Bacteria; Pseudomonadati; Pseudomonadota; Betaproteobacteria
Description: bacterial SSU rRNA
Rfam family: Bacterial small subunit ribosomal RNA
Source: RNAcentral
UGGGGAAUUUUGGACAAUGGGCGAAAGCCUGAUCCAGCCAUGCCGCGUGAGUGAAGAAGGCCUUCGGGUUGUAAAGCUCUUUUAGUCGGAAAGAAAGAGUUGCAAUGAAUAAUUGUGAUUUAUGACGGUACCGACAGAAAAAGCACCGGCUAACUACGUGCCAGCAGCCGCGGUAAUACGUAGGGUGCGAGCGUUAAUCGGAAUUACUGGGCGUAAAGGGUGCGCAGGCGGUCUUGCAAGUCAGAUGUGAAAGCCCCGGGCUUAACCCGGGAAUUGCGUUUGAAACUACAAGGCUAGAGUGCAGCAGAGGGGAGUGGAAUUCCAUGUGUAGCAGUGAAAUGCGUAGAGAUGUGGAAGAACACCGAUGGCGAAGGCAGCUCCCUGGGUUGACACUGACGCUCAUGCACGAAAGCGUGGGGAGCAAACA